RNAcentral lists this ribosomal RNA (253 nucleotides) under uncultured bacterium. RNAcentral's name for it is "partial 16S ribosomal RNA". It matches the Rfam family "Bacterial small subunit ribosomal RNA", at positions 524 to 776 of the family's 1533-position model. The record is from RNAcentral.
CACGUAGGGCGCAAGCGUUGUUCGGAUUCAUUGGGCGUAAAGAGCUCGUAGGCGGUCUGUCGCGUCUGCUGUGAAAACCUGGGGCUUAACCCCGGGCCUGCAGUGGGUACGGGCAGACUAGAGUGUGGUAGGGGAGACUGGAAUUCCUGGUGUAGCGGUGAAAUGCGCAGAUAUCAGGAGGAACACCGGUGGCGAAGGCGGGUCUCUGGGCCAUAACUGACGCUGAGGAGCGAAAGCGUGGGGAGCGAACAGG